AGCCAUCCUUGGGAUACCACCCUUGUAGUACUGGGACUCUAACCAUAGGCCAUGAAUCUGGUCUUGGGACACUGUCAGGUGGGCAGUUUGACUGGGGCGGUCGCCUCCCAAAAGGUAACGGAGGCGCGCAAAGGUUCUCUCAGUACGGUCGGAAAUCGUACGUAGAGUGUAAAGGCAAAAGAGAGCUUGAUUGCAAGACAUACAGGUCGAGCAAGGAUGAAAAUCGGAC
Molecule: ribosomal RNA, 229 nt
Filed under: Clostridioides difficile
Lineage: Bacteria; Bacillati; Bacillota; Clostridia; Peptostreptococcales; Peptostreptococcaceae
Description: partial 23S ribosomal RNA
Rfam family: Bacterial large subunit ribosomal RNA
Source: RNAcentral